RNAcentral lists this ribosomal RNA (464 nucleotides) under uncultured bacterium. Its description in RNAcentral is "partial 16S ribosomal RNA". It matches the Rfam family "Bacterial small subunit ribosomal RNA", at positions 339 to 795 of the family's 1533-position model. The record is from RNAcentral.
CUACGGGUUGCAGCAGUAGGGAAUCUUCGGCAAUGGACGGAAGUCUGACCGAGCAACGCCGCGUGAGUGAAGAAGGUUUUCGGAUCGUAAAGCUCUGUUGUAAGAGAAGAACGAGUGUGAGAGUGGAAAGUUCACACUGUGACGGUAUCUUACCAGAAAGGGACGGCUAACUACGUGCCAGCAGCCGCGGUAAUACGUAGGUCCCGAGCGUUGUCCGGAUUUAUUGGGCGUAAAGCGAGCGCAGGCGGUUAGAUAAGUCUGAAGUUAAAGGCUGUGGCUUAACCAUAGUACGCUUUGGAAACUGUUUAACUUGAGUGCAGAAGGGGAGAGUGGAAUUCCAUGUGUAGCGGUGAAAUGCGUAGAUAUAUGGAGGAACACCGGUGGCGAAAGCGGCUCUCUGGUCUGUAACUGACGCUGAGGCUCGAAAGCGUGAGGAGCAAACAGGAUUAGAUACCCGGGUAGUC